AAUAUAAUAGUACCUAACACCUAAAUAUAAAUGUGCACCUAAAAAAAACCAUCAUAUCCGCCGUUUUACAAAAGGACACCCUCCCUCAUUGGUCUUCUCAAAAAAGAAGCAGCCAUUUCCAUAGAUUUUGGGUGAACAAAAAAACAACGCCUCCCAUCUUCUUCUUUAGCCUUUCAACCAAAAACACCUCUCACCAAUGACCCCAUCACCACCUUAGAAUGACCAUCCUCCAAAAUACCUUCAAAACACCAAGCGACUCAGCUCUACAACACAACAAAAUCAGCCCCAUUUAGCCCCAAAAACCAGCUGCUUUCCUCCACUUAAAAUGACCCCGACACACUGCUGAAAUAAUAGCUAGACUCCAGCAAAACAUCAGCCAGCACCCCCAUAAAAACAAUCCUAAAACAACCAUGAAGCUCACCCUUAAACUACUGUGAAAAUCAGCUUAAAAAUAGUUGUGUCGCAGUUGAAAAACAGCCGCCAAAGUAGCUUCCAAUUACCUGAAGAAACACAGCCGUAAACUCUCCAAAACGCCGUUAAACGCUUCCAUGUGAACUUGAAUGAAACUAGCUCUUCUUCCUUUGAAACUAUUCCUCAAUGGCUGUCCAAAAAUGCAGCAAAGCAGGCACCAAAAAUAAGCUCACAGAAAGUACUGUUCUAGCUGAAAAAUAACUGCUUCGUGGGGUUCCCGUCCAUGGUCAUCGAGUUCCAGUCGAAGCGUUGUUUUCGACUUUGCUAUUAUGCCGACUCCAUCUUGUUGUAAACAACUUUGCUGUAAAACUUGAAAGUGGAUAAGCUCAAAUAAAGGUCCUAUCUUUGCCACAACUUCCUAAUUUUGCAAAUAGGUUGAUCAGUUGUUGCUCUUUUGCCCUAGUUUGUAAUCUCAGUAGUAGUAGUCUUUUAUUUCAUGCCAUGACAUGGUUUGUUUUGCACAUUUAUGCUCCGGUUUAUUAUUUACAAUUUAAUUUGUCGUAUACUGAUUUGUCAUAUCCCCUAGUUAGCGUUCAUACAUUAGAAUAGUGUUUGAUUAAAGAAGUUGUUACUUGAAUUCAUUGGAAGCCAUAGAUCGUGCUAGAAUUUUGCAAAUUUUUGGGCUAAUGCGCGUAAUAUUAUUGCAAAUUUUAUUCUAAAAUGUAUCUCGAGGGAGCAUUCAC
Molecule: long non-coding RNA, 1154 nt
Filed under: Nicotiana benthamiana
Lineage: Eukaryota; Viridiplantae; Streptophyta; Magnoliopsida; Solanales; Solanaceae
Description: long non-coding RNA (NBEN_LNC022017)
Source: RNAcentral